GGGCCCGUAGCUCAGCAAGGUAGAGCGGCGGGCUCUUAACCCGUUGGUCCGGGGUUCAAAUCCCCGCGGGCCCGCCA
This 77-nucleotide transfer RNA is filed under the name Candidatus Bathyarchaeota archaeon. RNAcentral describes it as "tRNA-Lys". It matches the Rfam family "tRNA". From Rfam's summary of the family: Transfer RNA (tRNA) molecules are approximately 80 nucleotides in length. The record is from RNAcentral. Lineage: Archaea; Thermoproteati; Candidatus Bathyarchaeota.